UACGGAGGGUGCAAGCGUUAUCCGGAUUUACUGGGUUUAAAGGGUGCGUAGGCGGCUUCUUAAGUCAGUGGUGAAAUCCUAGUGCUUAACACUAGAACGGCCGCUGAUACUGGGAAGCUUGAGUCAAGGAGAGGUAAGCAGAAUUUAUGGUGUAGCAGUGAAAUGCUUAGAUACCAUAAGGAAUACCAAUAGCGAAGGCAGCUUACUGGCCUUGUACUGACGCUGAGGCACGAAAGCGUGGGGAGCAAACAGG
This 253-nucleotide ribosomal RNA is filed under the name uncultured bacterium. Its description in RNAcentral is "partial 16S ribosomal RNA". It matches the Rfam family "Bacterial small subunit ribosomal RNA", at positions 524 to 776 of the family's 1533-position model. The record is from RNAcentral.